UAUCAUGAAACGUCUCAUAAACCUAUUUUAGCUAUUGUUUGUCUUUUUCUUUGGUGCUAACUUCCUUAUUUGAAAGAAAGUGACAAAAUAUAGUAAUAAUAAAAAAAAGUUUGUAGAAGAGGUGUUUUUUUAAUAAGGGGUAUGACUAUAUGACCAUGGGUAAUUAGUUACUUUUUUAUCUUGACUUGUAUACAUCCUUAAGUCUAUAUUUACACCUAUGACCGAUUUCCAUCAAAGAUGUGUUUUUCGUUACAUCGUAUAUAACUGUAAAAAGUAUAUACCAUACCUUUACUUUAUACCAUUGCAUAAAAUAAAUAUAGAAUCUGAAUCACGACGGUGGCAAUCAGGCACACGGCCCGCCUGAUGAUAAGCAGUAUCGUAAUCUAUCAUUGCCACAACAUCAGAAGUAUAACGUGUGCGUUGAACUUUAUAAUUUGUUGGUUUUAGUUAGUUAAAAUGUGACUUUGAAGAAACAUUAUAACGAUUUUUUGUUAUUGUAUAAGACUUCGGGUUAAUAUCUAUUUAAUACAGAUAAAUUUUAUCUGUGAUAUUCUAACAUUUUUCGGAACAAGACUCGCAGUGGCAUCUCGUGGUUUUCGUCAGAACUACAAUCUCAUCAAAGUACACUCCGGUACGAUACGUACAGCGCAAUAGAUUUGAGAUUCGUCACUAGAUGACGCUUUUAGUAACCUACUUGAAAUUACGCGUCAAAUUCAAACGCGUCAAAAUGGCUGACCAGCUGGCAACAAAAUUUAAAGCUAUAAAAUGUAAAUAGCCGACUUAGCGCAUUAAGAACAUAUAUAUUUUUUUAAUAACAAAGCAAUGGCUGCAGGUAAUAUAAUGAAAGCAUUCUUUACUUUGAUCUUCGACAAAGUUCACUGUAGUUCAUUGAGUGGCAGAGACAACGGAUUUGGAAACAAUUAUAUAUGGGCAGGAUCACUGGAGUCAGGUUUACAAAUAGCCACACAUCAUAACAAGCCUGUUAUGGUGAUUAUACACAAAUCCUGGUGUUCAGCCUGCAAGAAUUUGAAGCCUAAAUUUGCUACUUCGUCGGAGAUACAAUCGUUGAGCAAGCAUUUCGUUAUGGUCAACUUGGUUGACGAAGAGGAGCCGAAAAAUAGCAGUUUUGCUCCCGACGGAUCUUAUAUACCCAGGAUACUGUUCGUAUCACCAAAAGGAUCUGUGGACCACGACAUCUACAAUGAGGAGGGUAGCAGUCAAUACAAAUACUUCUACAGCAGGCCGGAACAAAUCGCUAAAUCGAUGAGAAAAGUCCUCGAAAAAUAUAAACAUGAACAAUUCGAUGUAUGAUGAACAUUCCAAAUUUAUAGAAUGAACGUAGACAUGAAGUGAAAUAAUUUUGACUAUUAAAUAGACUCAAUAAAGUGAAUGAAGCACAAAGGUAAUAAGUACUCACAUCUUCGACGACUGGUUCGACGUACAUCUCCAU
Molecule: RNA transcript, 1450 nt
Organism: Galleria mellonella (greater wax moth)
Lineage: Eukaryota; Metazoa; Arthropoda; Insecta; Lepidoptera; Pyralidae
Gene name: thioredoxin domain-containing protein 12-like
Exons: 4
Source: RefSeq, a predicted model, not a curated record